This 506-nucleotide ribosomal RNA is filed under the name uncultured bacterium. Its description in RNAcentral is "partial 16S ribosomal RNA". It matches the Rfam family "Bacterial small subunit ribosomal RNA", at positions 28 to 503 of the family's 1533-position model. The record is from RNAcentral.
GACGAACGCUGGCGGCGUGCUUAACACAUGCAAGUCGAACGAAGAGCGAUGGAAGCUUGCUUCUAUCAAUCUUAGUGGCGAACGGGUGAGUAACGCGUAAUCAACCUGCCCUUCAGAGGGGGGCAACAGUUGGAAACGACUGCUAAUACCGCAUACGAUCUAACCUCGGCAUCGAGGAUAGAUGAAAGGUGGCCUCUACAUGUAAGCUAUCACUGAAGGAGGGGAUUGCGUCUGAUUAGCUAGUUGGAGGGGUAACGGCCCACCAAGGCGAUGAUCAGUAGCCGGUCUGAGAGGAUGAACGGCCACAUUGGGACUGAGACACGGCCCAGACUCCUACGGGAGGCAGCAGUGGGGAAUCUUCCGCAAUGGACGAAAGUCUGACGGAGCAACGCCGCGUGAGUGAUGACGGCCUUCGGGUUGUAAAGCUCUGUUAAUCGGGACGAAAGGCCUUCUUGCGAAUAGUUAGAAGGAUUGACGGUACCGGAAUAGAAAGCCACGGCUAACUA